CGGUAGAGCAUCAGACUUUUAAUC
RNAcentral lists this non-coding RNA (24 nucleotides) under Cricetulus griseus (Chinese hamster). Lineage: Eukaryota; Metazoa; Chordata; Mammalia; Rodentia; Cricetidae. The record is from RNAcentral.